Molecule: ribosomal RNA, 460 nt
Filed under: uncultured bacterium
Lineage: Bacteria
Description: partial 16S ribosomal RNA
Rfam family: Bacterial small subunit ribosomal RNA
Source: RNAcentral
CCUUCGGGCGGCAGCAGUGAGGAAUAUUGGUCAAUGGACGCAAGUCUGAACCAGCCAUGCCGCGUGCAGGAAGACGGCUCUAUGAGUUGUAAACUGCUUUUGUACGAGGGUAAACGCAGAUACGCGUGUCUGUCUGCAAGUAUCGUACGAAUAAGGAUCGGCUAACUCCGUGCCAGCAGCCGCGGUAAUACGGAGGAUUCAAGCGUUAUCCGGAUUUAUUGGGUUUAAAGGGUGCGUAGGCGGGCAGAUAAGUUAGAGGGUAAAUCCCGAGGCUCAACUUCGGAAUUGCCUCUGAUACGGUUCGGCUGGAGAGUAGUUGCGGUAGGCGGAAUGUAUGGUGUAGCGGUGAAAUGCUUAGAGAUUAUACAGAACACCGAUUGCGAAGGCAGCUUACCAAGCUACUUCUGACGUUGAGGCACGAAAGCGUGGGGAGCAAACAGGAUUAGAUACCCGGGUAGAC